This 74-nucleotide transfer RNA is filed under the name Fidelibacterota bacterium. RNAcentral describes it as "tRNA-Pro". It matches the Rfam family "tRNA". From Rfam's summary of the family: Transfer RNA (tRNA) molecules are approximately 80 nucleotides in length. Their secondary structure includes four short double-helical elements and three loops (D, anti-codon, and T loops). Lineage: Bacteria; Pseudomonadati; Fidelibacterota. The record is from RNAcentral.
CGGGACGUGGCGUAGCUCGGUAGCGCACCUGACUGGGGGUCAGGGGGUCGCUGGUUCAAAUCCAGUCGUUCCGA